AUUAGCAAUUACAUUGGACAGCCUGACUUGCAACUCUUCCUGCGUCGAGUACCUAUUGGUGGAGUUAGUCCUGCUUUCAGCCAAUCGGUAUGCGGGGGCUGAAUCUACGCUCGUCAACAUUGGGUUCUGUAUGCUCAGAAAGGGCGUCUCCUCGCCUAUUCGUUCGUCUUCCGUUUCACUGUCGGAGCUACUGCUCUCCGAGAUUGGAUUGCUCUCAGUCUCCAUUCUCUGCGAAAUGUGGCCAUUAGCCUUUGUUCUUUUCCCUCUCCUGUUGCCGGCCCCUUUCUUGGGGGACUCGAGCGUCGGCUCGUACUCUUGGGUGGUCUCGUACUCGUCAUCCUCGACCACCCGUAGUGGGCUGGCUGGGAUGCUGCCACUGUCCUGGGCGGAGUUGUGGUACUGCUUGUACGGGUCUUGCCUCUUCUCCCGCUGACGAGGCGGGAUCACCAGAAGCAGAGGCCUCUCCUCCUCAAUUAAAGGGCUAAUGGUCACUGAUGGCAUGGAUAUAGUCAGGCUAGACACUGGCGGUGAUAGCUCGCAGUUGGGCGACUUUUGGGACACCGGUGUUCGGAAGUCCACUGGAGACAUUCUGGCUGGAGUGGUCAUGGCAGAGACAAACCUAGAACAUCAUGAACAGCAGCAAUGAAGAGGACAACCAAAAACACAAGAUCUAAUAAACAGUCUCCUCUGCUCCUUGAUAAGAGACAGUUCUUGCAGAUGCAGUACACUACCGUGCAUAUAAAUGGCUGAAGGACCUACCUUUCACUAUGUGGUGAAUCUCGGAGAGAGUCUGGAGUGUCUCUGGAAUUCCUUACACAGAUAAGCAUCUCUCGUCGACCCGCCACCCCGUUGAGUCGUCCUCGGUGAUUGAUUGGGCUGGUGUGCCUGCUGGUUUCAAUUGACGAUGUUACCAGCACAGAGGGGCUGUCUGAGAUGACACUUUCUAUUUGGCCUGUACUCCAACUAUGGCCAAUACAAAAGAGAAACAUCUUUAAAUCAUUUGUUCAAUAAUGUCUUCAUGUCUGUUUCUUUUGAGAUGUAGGAGACGGAAGGGCCUUCAGUGAUUACUUUCUAGGGGUGACUGUAGUGUCCCUGUAGUGCUAUUAGCCUGAUGUUGCGGUAUCUUGUGCAGCCAGCUCAUUGCCUGUUUCAUUGUGACUUAGAGCAUGAAGCAUUGGAGCACAGCAGGCCCAGAAUGUUAAUCCAAGUAGCAUAGCCUUUAUGUACCAGCAUAUGGGCAGUGAAUGAUAGUGGGCAAAGGAGAAGGAUACAAAAUUUCCUUAAAAAUAUUGACCACCAAUGAACAAGAAAGGGGCAAUAUUCCAUUCCAACUCAAUGGUUAUUGCUCAGGUCCUCAGUUUUAGUUAGAGGGAGCUUAAUGCAAUUUUCCCAUACCUGAUGGCUUUAACUGAGCAUUGCUUGUUUGUGUAGAUCACCCAUUGCUUGUUAGGGUGGUGGUCUCAGAUCUCUGUGCAAAUAAACAAAUAGCCAAAUCCGAUGCAAAACUUCAGAUUGGACAUAUCGCAUGAUUGGUUUGCAGUUAUAAAGUGGACUAAUCAAUGCCAUGUUUCAUUGUGAAACGCUGCACAUUAAGGAAUGUGACUUUGUUCAUUCUUUUCCUCCUUGGCACAUGGCAAAUGAAACUCAAGUGUGAAGCAGCAUCUUUAUUGGAAAUGAAAUUAAGGAAAGCUGUCAAUGGGAGGUCAAGCCAAUAUCAAGUGGCUUGUAGUAUUGUCCACGUCAGAAUUAGAAAGCAACUAAACAGUGCCUUCAAGUCAAGCAGGGAUAGACAAUAGGAAACAAUCAGACUGCGGUGUUCUGAUAUUAUUCAGCACGCAUUUUAAACUCUCACAUUUGAGCUAAUGUUUGCAUCAUCACAUUUGUAAUGGCUUAUGUUAAGGUAUCAUACUGUAACAUACUAGCCACCCAUCAACCCCACAACAACUACCCUCCAGUAACUGUGCAGGGGAUGGAGGAGAGUCAAUGUUUUAGACAGACAGCUGGCAACAUAAUAGGGUGAACAUAGGGAUUUAUAGAGGCAAACAUUAAGAGGAAUUGUGCACAGGAAAUAAGUUUUAAUUGACUAUAAAUGUAAUUAUAUGCUGUUUUCACUAUACUGUCUAUAUUUACCUUAUUUGUUACAAAAGCUUCGAACUAUGGUGGCAGUAAGAUAACUUAGUGAGUAGGGUUUAACUGAGGGGGCAGUGUGGUGGAAGAUUCCAGUUCUUCUGGCCUGGUGUCCAGGAUCAAAUGUGGUAACAAGCCCCAGUUUGAUCCCACUUAAGCUCAGCUUCAGUACCUGUACAUUGUCAUAGAUGUAUAUCUACAUGAUGUAUACUUUUCACCAGGUAUCAAUAUAUGAAGGUGUGGUUGGGGCCAUCUGUAGCUUUAACUCUUACCCAGUCUACUCACUUAUUCUAACAAUCUGAUUUUCUGGCCCAAGUCUUCUGUAUUAUUUGAUAGAGCUGAAGGUAAUGAGAUAUGAGUAACAAUGUCUUUUAUUUAAGUUUAACAUCAUCACCCACCACCACACUGUUCAUCUCAAAGAUUGAAACAUGUCUACCAUGAGCUUUUCUGAGGGUUUCCAACAUAAAAACUUACAUUGUAUUACAUACAAAUUACAGCAGUGAAAUAGACCAUUCAGUCCAAUGGUUCUAUGUCACUAUUUACAUUCUAAGCGAGCCUUCUCUUGCUCUUUUUCAAUUAAUCCUACUGGAAUGCUCUUAUAUUCAUACAGACAUAGAAAACAAAAGCAGGAGUAGGCCAUUCGGCCCUUUGAGUCUGCCCUGGCUGCUCAUCCAACUCAAUAUCCUGUUCCUGCUUUCUCCCUACACCAUUCGAUCACCUUAGCCCAUGAACUAUAGCUAACACUGUCUUGAAAACAUUCAGUGCUUUUGUGUCUAUUUCACUCUGUGGCAAGGAAUUCCACAGGCUUACUGCUCUCUGGGUGAAGUAUUUUCUCCUCACCUCAGUCCUAAAUGACCUAGCCCCCAACCCCAUCAUGUCCUUAGACCGUGAUCCCUGGUUCCUGACUCCGUGGUCAUCGUGAACAUCCUUGCUGUAUUUAGCCUGUCUAGUUCUGUUGGAAUUGUGUAGGUUUCUAUGAGGUCCAACCUCAUUCUCCUAAACUCCAAUGAAUAUAGUUCUAACUGGUCAGUUUCUAUUCAUACAUCAGUCCUGCUAACAUAGGAAUCAGUCUGGUAGACCUUUGUUGCACACCCUCCAUAGCCAGAACAUGCUUCCUAAGAUACUAAGACCACAACUGAACACAAUUCCUUUCUCCCUCCCUCUUACUAAGUUCCUUAUUAAAUCAUUCCAUGCAAUUUCCUCAACCAGUCCAUGUGGGAAUGAGUUGCCCAUUCCCACCAUCAUCUGAGUAAAGAGGUUUCCCCUAAAGUCUUUAUUAGGUGUCUAUUUUAUAUUGCUGGACACUCGCCUUCCUUUAGUAGGAAACAUAAUUUAAAGAUUGCUACCAGUUCUCCAAGGUUGGUCUAAUCAAGGUUCUUUACACCAGCUCCUUGGUUUUCAAUUCUCUCUCUCUAGGCGCUCAUCUUUAAGAGGAAUCCACUGGAAAAUCCAUCUAUCCUGGACCAACCUCACGAUCAAGUUUCCAGUAGACUCAUGUCUGGCUGAGCACUCUCUCAAAAGAAACGUAUGUGAAUUUGGAGGGGAAGAGAGUGAACAGCAGCAUUUUUUGUUUGUGUUUAUUUUUAUUUGAAACAUUAAACCUGUAAUUCUGUGAAAUGCCAAAGAUGUUGAAACAUGUGGGUUCUUUCAAACAGAAGACAUUGGGGCAGGAACAAAGAGCGCUUGUUGACUCAUCAGGUUAUCCCUCUCUGCCAGUGUACAGCGAGCGAAGUGCAAAUUGCAAAGGCAAAGACAAAAAUGAGUCAGGGCUUUCUGGAGUGGGCGACAAAGUAGCACAUCCAACUAUGUAGGAUUGAAGUUAGUGGGUAGGGCUGUGUGGGGAUGAGGCUGGAUACUGAGCCGGACGAAGGGUUUAAAUGAAAUAAUGUAUGCUGGGCA
Stegostoma tigrinum is the source of this 4026-nucleotide long non-coding RNA. RefSeq lists it as uncharacterized. NCBI's taxonomy places the organism in Eukaryota, Metazoa, Chordata, Chondrichthyes, Orectolobiformes, Stegostomatidae. The record is from RefSeq and is a predicted model, not a curated record. The transcript has 3 exons.